GUUUAAUUAGCAGGUUUAGAUAUUUCAGCUGCACGUUAUUAACAGGUGCAUAAAAUCAAGUGUGCAGCCAAGGAAUUUCCUUUUCAGCGGAAUGGAGCCCUUUUCUGUUCCAACAUGAUGGUGCACAAAGCAUUUUACUGAGUCUGGUGUGGAAAAACUCGUGCAAAGUCCACAACUGAAUCCUGCUGAAUUCUUUUGGGAUAAAUUUGGAUGUGUGCCAGACCCCAUCACCCAACAUCAGUAUCUGACCUCACUGAUGCUCAUGUCUGAAUGGGAGCAAAUCCCUGCAGCCAUGUUCCAACAUCUUGUGGAAAGUCUUCCCAGAAGAAUAGAAGCUGUUAAAUGUUCAGCAAGCACAUAUGGGUUUUGUGCCAUCACUGUUACAUUCAAAAUGGUUUGGGGUCAAAUGUUACAAGAUUGAAGAUUGAUGGCAGAAGGCCUGCCCAAUAAGCCAUAUUUAUGACAGGAACCAAAGAUAGCAGACAGCAGCAUGAAAGGAGAGCCGGUGGGAAUUCGAUCAGGACACGGCGCAGGGCAAACUCAAACCAGCCUCCCGUCGGGCACGUGCAAAUCCUGCUGCGUCAUGGCUCCGACAGAGAAUAUAAUUUGAAAAGUUUUCUUCCUUCCUAGAAAGUUCAUGCUGAGUAUUACCAGCAUCUCCCCAGGACCAGCUGUUUGGCUGAAUUUCUCAAACCCGUUUCAAAAGCAUUCCGAUGUCUCCCAUUCAUACCAAAUGAGAAGCAAAAAUGCCAAAAAAAGAUAUGCAAAUCACCCAUGCAGCACCCCGUCUACAUCUAAGGAGGGAAAUCUUCCGAAUGCAGCAGAGUGUUUCCUGUUUCCUCCAGAUUGCAGGCUUUGGCAGGAGCCUGGCGAUCAUUAUAACUAGAGGAGACAUGUCCCCCUCACUUUUGGAAACUGAGAAUGUUCAUUGUCAGUGCUUUUGGGAGAUAAUCAUUACUUUUCAAAGACCCAUGCUUUGAUGUGUCCCCCCUCUGCUUUUGGAAUCCUUGCGCAGCCCCUGAUGUCAGGCGUUUUUAUUCUGUCCAUCAGGUAGUCUUAAUAGGCAAAUGGGAAUAGACAAUGUUGGUGCUGCACAAUCACAGGCCUGUCCUCGUCUUUCAAAGUACACUCUAAUUAUUGCAGAAUCUGAAUUCCUAAUUCCAGUCAUUUGGAUUUGAAUUUGAUUAAAACAGAUCAAACAUCAUGAGGUUUGGCACAGCCUUAUAUGUGCGCCUUUGGUGAUUAUUUCUAAUCUGGGAAUUUCUGCUCUAAUAAGGACACCUGAAUUUGCAGAAAAGCCUUUGUUUGAUAAUGCAUCACAUAGGCAAUUAAAGAGCCUAUUUAGGGGGGCUUCAGCCCUCUUGUCUUUCAUCUAAUCAGCAAUGAAUUUAGCUGUCAGCACCCUAAAAGUCAGUGAUUAUAUGAUCGUUCCUGUUUACUGAAAACAGCGACAUCUUAUUUCACAGGUCAUUUCACACUGAAUCUUCCCCUUACUAGUCAUUAAACUUAAAAACAUCAAACCUCAUUAGACUGAAGAGAAAGGUUGCUCAAAAAUUUAAAUGGUGUCAUUGUUUACUCACCCUUAUGUUAUUCCAAACCAGUAUGAGUUUUUUUCCUCAAAAAAAGUCAAAAAAGGCACAGACAGAAUCUUCGUGUCACUCUCUUAGAAGAACCAUUUAAAUUCCCCAGAGAACCUUUCUCUGAACAGCUCCUAAGAACCAUUUUUAUUCUUAAAGGAAAAGUUCAUCUAAAAGUAAAAAUUUGCUGAAAAUGUACUCCCCCUCAGGCCAUCUAAGAUGUAAAUGAGUUUGUUUCCUCAAAAGAACAGAUUU
Molecule: long non-coding RNA, 1832 nt
Organism: Cyprinus carpio (common carp)
Lineage: Eukaryota; Metazoa; Chordata; Actinopteri; Cypriniformes; Cyprinidae
Exons: 4
Source: RefSeq, a predicted model, not a curated record